GGGGAGCUUGCUUCCUGGAUUAGUGGCGAACGGGUGAGUAACACGUGAGUAACCUGCCCUUGACUCUGGGAUAAGCGUUGGAAACGACGUCUAAUACCGGAUAUGACCUGUGACGGCAUCGUCUGCAGGUGGAAAGAAUUUUGGUCAAGGAUGGACUCGCGGCCUAUCAGGUAGUUGGUGAGGUAAUGGCUCACCAAGCCGACGACGGGUAGCCGGCCUGAGAGGGUGACCGGCCACACUGGGACUGAGACACGGCCCAGACUCCUACGGGAGGCAGCAGUGGGGAAUAUUGCACAAUGGGCGAAAGCCUGAUGCAGCAACGCCGCGUGAGGGAUGACGGCCUUCGGGUUGUAAACCUCUUUUAGUUGGGAAGAAGGGAGCUUGCUCUUGACGGUACCAGCAGAAAAAGCACCGGCUAACUACGUGCCAGCAGCCGCGGUAAUACGUAGGGUGCAAGCGUUGUCCGGAAUUAUUGGGCGUAAAGAGCUCGUAGGCGGUUUGUCGCGUCUGCUGUGAAAUCUGGGGGCUCAACCCCCAGCCUGCAGUGGGUACGGGCAGACUAGAGUGCGGUAGGGGAGAUUGGAAUUCCUGGUGUAGCGGUGGAAUGCGCAGAUAUCAGGAGGAACACCGAUGGCGAAGGCAGAUCUCUGGGCCGUUACUGACGCUGAGGAGCGAAAGCAUGGGGAGCGAACAGGAUUAGAUACCCUGGUAGUCCAUGCCGUAAACGUUGGGAACUAGAUGUAGGGGCCAUUCCACGG
RNAcentral lists this ribosomal RNA (758 nucleotides) under Salinibacterium sp. RNAcentral's name for it is "bacterial SSU rRNA". It matches the Rfam family "Bacterial small subunit ribosomal RNA", at positions 73 to 837 of the family's 1533-position model. Lineage: Bacteria; Bacillati; Actinomycetota; Actinomycetes; Micrococcales; Microbacteriaceae. The record is from RNAcentral.